Molecule: RNA transcript, 1906 nt
Organism: Daucus carota subsp. sativus
Lineage: Eukaryota; Viridiplantae; Streptophyta; Magnoliopsida; Apiales; Apiaceae
Gene name: F-box protein At3g07870
Exons: 4
Source: RefSeq, a predicted model, not a curated record
UAUGUUAUGCUAUUAUUAUAUAGCCGCUCUUAUGUAAUGUUAAUUUCGGGCCGGGGACAUGUUUCUUUAACUAUCUUUGAGCAAAAAUCUCACCUCAAUAUAUCUGUAUUGUGAUCUCUGCAAGUCUCACAGGGCCCUGUGUUGAUUGCUGAAUUCCAUAUUGAAAUGAAGUCGGAGACGUCGAUAAAUGAUUUGCAGAGGGAUACUUUAAGUGAUAUCUUAUCAAGACUACCUGCAAGAACCCUUUUGAGUUGUCAAUGUGUGUGCAAAAGAUUUAAUCAACUGAUUAGAAACCCCGAUUUCAUUACUAGCCAUCUUAAUCGUGCCACUUCCACGACUGAUGCUGAUAUUUGUUCUAUAUCGGUUCUUAGUUUUGAUGAGGAAGAUAGGGAUAGAAGCUUCACUGAUCAUAUGCUUGUUGAGAGCUCAAAAGAUAAUGAGUUUGAGCUUUCGUUUUCGUAUGUGAAGCAUCUUAAUCCGAUUACGAGUCAGUUUGUUGUGAUUGGUAGCUGCAAUGGUUUGUUUUGUGUUGACCUGAGAGCCCCUGAUGAGAGAUGUGCAUCUUAUAUUUUGUUGUGGAAUCCUGUUACGAAACAAAAUAGGUAUCUUCCCAAACCCCAGAUCGAUGCUUUGGGCAAAGGGGUCAACAUUGUUCAAGCUUUUGGUUUCGAACCUGAAACUAAUGAUUACAAGGUUGUAAGGAUUGUAUAUUACCAUAGUGCUGAAAAUUCUGGUGCCAUGUCAGAUGAAGAUGACAUGUUCGUGAUGCAAAUGGAGGUGUUUAAAAUGAGUGAGGAUUGUUGGACCACUUUUCAAGCAAGUACCUUGCUCUGUUCUGCGGACAGCAAUAUGUCACUGGAGGAAGAGCCCGUGUUGCCACUUGAAAUUCGGAAAUCUUCUCCUGUGUUUUUGAAAGGAGCAUUUCAUUGGCUUGCUAUAGAUCCGAGAAAUCACGAAGACAGUCAAAGUGCUAUAGUGUCAUUUGACCUUAAAGAUGAGCAGUUAAGACUAAUAACUGUGUUGGAUUCUUGCAGACAAGGGGGUAAACUUGUUCUGAUAAAUGAUUUGCUUUCCCAUAUUGUUUCUCAUCAACCAAGGGAUGGGGUGGCAUAUGAUAUAUGGGUAAUGAAUAGCUAUGGGGUCAAGGAUUCCUGGACUAAGCAGUUUUCUGUUAAAGAGUCUCUUGGAACUCUAUGGCCAUUGGGAUAUUGGAGAAGUGAUCUUUUGCUAAUGAUUGAGAUUCUACGUGGGAAGAGGAAUGUGUUUUCUUAUAAUCUUAGCACUGGGGCAAGAAAGAACCUGCCAUAUCUCGAAAAUUUUAGUUUUCUUGGCUUUUGUACAUAUGUUGAAACUCUGGUUCCUCUGAGCUAGAGAUGCUGACAUGCUCUCAGCCUGGAAACACUUAACAGAGGAUCGAUGAGUGACAGUAAAUAUGCCAAUGAUGUUGGACAACUAGGAUAUCAAAGUAAAUUGUGGAUCAUUCUUUCCAUGGUACGACUCUUCGGUUAGAUAAACUGGUAAAGUUCAAGCUUAAGACUUUCAAUUUGGACAAAUAUCUAUUAGAAGUUCUCUUUCAAUCCCUUACCUACCAUCAGACUCUGAGUUGUUUCAUUGUUGAUUAAAAAUCCGUUCCAUAUCUAUACACUAUGUUAGCAAUAUGAUUUUCUUAUCUUAAACAACUUUGUACAUUUUCAUGCCACUUAGUUGUACAGGUCAUAUCAUGACAAGGAGCAGUAUAACAGUGACCGGACAAUGGUAAACACUUGUUUUGGAGCUGCUAGGUUAGUCAAAAUUAAAAUCUUGAAUGAUUGCAAGUUCUUGCAAAUUUGGAGCCCAGCCAUCAUAUGAUACCCAUCACUCCGCUAAUAUAUAAUUAUGUAUUAGUACAAUAUCGUAGCUUGGAAUU